Molecule: transfer RNA, 74 nt
Filed under: Flavonifractor sp. An82
Lineage: Bacteria; Bacillati; Bacillota; Clostridia; Eubacteriales; Oscillospiraceae
Description: tRNA-OTHER
Rfam family: tRNA
About the family: Transfer RNA (tRNA) molecules are approximately 80 nucleotides in length. Their secondary structure includes four short double-helical elements and three loops (D, anti-codon, and T loops).
Source: RNAcentral
GGAUCAGUAGCUUACGGUCGGAGCGCCGGUCUGAAAACCGGAGGAUGCAGGUUCGAUACCUGCCUGGUCCACCA